RNAcentral lists this long non-coding RNA (1101 nucleotides) under Trifolium pratense (red clover). RNAcentral's name for it is "long non-coding RNA (TPRA_LNC007019)". The record is from RNAcentral. Lineage: Eukaryota; Viridiplantae; Streptophyta; Magnoliopsida; Fabales; Fabaceae.
ACUACAAGAAAAAUAGAAAACGGCGACAGUCAAUUUGAGGCACUAGUAAGUGAACUGUCGCCGCUCUUGUCAAUACUGACAGUUACUACGGCGUUCAUUGAACCGCCUGUACUCUCUGUAAAUUUCGGCGGGUUUUUGUGUAUUGNNNNNNNNNUGAACCGCACCUGUAUUCUUAUUAGAGGGCGCAAUCUUAUUUCCAAUUUUUUCAAUCAAAAUAACAAAAGAAAUUCGCAGCUUUUCAUUCCUCGGUUCGAAUUUCACCGUUCCAAAUCCCUAAAUCUACGAUUCUCACUCACAAGCUUCAUUCCUUAAAUCGCUCGAGCUUCAAUCCCUAAAUCCGCGAUUCUCACUCACAAGCUCCAAUCCCUAAAUCUCUCAAAGCUACGUUCAGAUUCAUCUCAAGCUUUGUUCAANNNNNNNNNNNNNNNNNNCUUUAGGUUAUAUAAUUUGGGAAUUAGGUAAUUGAAAUUUAUUUUUUGGUUUUCACUGAUUGUUGGGAAGAAUUGUGUUAAGUGAGAUUGAUAGAAAGAUUAGUAAAAUUGUGAAUUAAGAAAAAAUUGAUUAAGUAACUUUUCUGCUUAGUGUAGAAAGAAUUAAGACAUAAUUUGCAAUCUUUUCUGUUUCAAAAUUGUGAUUAUUGGAAUAGUGAUGCUAGCUUAUUUCUUGUGCAUCAUAUCAAUUGAGUUGCAAGCUUUUAACAGUGUGUCAAAUUUAACUCUUUUGUAUUGCUGUUGUAGCAGAAGUAGCUCAAUAGUGCGCUAUAGCGCCACUAUAGCGGAUCUGUGAUCUGCUUGAUGCUUAUAGUGUAUAUAUAUUGUUCUAUUCGAUUCUGAUCUAAUUUUAGUGUUGAUUAAUGUGUGUUUGUACAGGUCAUAGUUAAUCACGUUCAAUAUAUAUGGCAUUAUAAAUUUACUCUUUUAAUAUAUGAUUAAUUAUUGGAGGAUGAUAUGAGAUACAAAAUUUGAUAAUCCUGUUUUUGGUUGUUAGAAUCUAAUAAUCCUUAAUAUAAAAGCACUAUAUAUAUCAUCAUAAAAGAAAAAAACUACACAAUUUAUCAACUUAAGCAGAAAAGUUACAACUCAUUACUAAGAAAAUAAAGCC